RNAcentral lists this ribosomal RNA (868 nucleotides) under uncultured bacterium. Its description in RNAcentral is "SSU rRNA". It matches the Rfam family "Bacterial small subunit ribosomal RNA", at positions 524 to 1381 of the family's 1533-position model. The record is from RNAcentral.
UACGAGGGGUGCAAACGUUAUUCGGAUUAACUGGGCGUAAAGGGUGUGUAGACGGAGCAUUAAGUUCGUUGUUAAAUCUCUCGGCUUAACCGGGAGCUUGCGAUGAAAACUAAUGUUCUUGAGGGUGAAAGAGAGAAGUGGAAUUCUCGGAGUAGCGGUAAAAUGCGUAGAUCUCGAGAGGAACACCGAUGGCGAAGGCAGCUUCUUGGUUCACUCCUGACGUUGAGACACGAAAGCGUGGGUAGCAAACAGGAUUAGAUACCCUGGUAGUCCACGCCGUAAACAAUGAUCACUGGAUGUCAGCUUUGCUUAGCAAGGUUGGUAUCGAAGCUAACGCGUUAAGUGAUCCGCCUGGGAAUUACGGUCGCAAGAUUAAAACUCAAAGGAAUUGACGGGGGUCCGCACAAGCGGUGGAACAUGUGGUUUAAUUCGACACUACGCGAGAAACCUUACCUGGGCUUGACAUGCUUUUGACAGUCGUAGAAAUACGAUCUUCUGAGCUUCGGUUCAGACAGAAGCACAGGUGCUGCAUGGCUGUCGUCAGCUCGUGUCGUGAGAUGUUUGGUUAAGUCCUCUAACGAGCGCAACCCCUGCCGUCAGUUGCUAUCUACCUUCGGGUAGAGCACUCUGAUGGGACUGCCUGGGAAACCAGGAGGAAGGUGGGGACGACGUCAAGUCAUCAUGGUCCUUAUGUCCAGGGCUACACACGUGUUACAAUGGCUGAUACAAAGGGGUGCGAUACCGCAAGGUGGAGCAAAUCCCAGAAAGUCAGUCUAAGUUCGGAUUGGGGUCUGCAACUCGACCCCAUGAAGUUGAAAUCGCUAGUAAUCGUAUAUCAUAACGAUACGGUGAAUACGUUCUCGGACCU